This 158-nucleotide ribosomal RNA is filed under the name Amphidinium carterae. RNAcentral's name for it is "5.8S ribosomal RNA". It matches the Rfam family "5.8S ribosomal RNA". From Rfam's summary of the family: 5.8S ribosomal RNA (5.8S rRNA) is a component of the large subunit of the eukaryotic ribosome. It is transcribed by RNA polymerase I as part of the 45S precursor that also contains 18S and 28S rRNA. Functionally, it is thought that 5.8S rRNA may be involved in ribosome translocation. Lineage: Eukaryota; Dinophyceae; Amphidiniales; Amphidiniaceae. The record is from RNAcentral.
AUAACUUCCAGCAGUGGAUCUCUAGGCUCAAGUGCUGAGGAAGGGUGCAGCAAAGUGUGAUAAGCAUUGUGAUGUGCGAGAUCCUGUGAACCAUUAGACUCCCGAUCGCACUCUGUACUUCUAGGAUCUCCUGGAAGUAAUCCAGCUUCAGGGUCAUG